ACCAUUACUCUUUGGAACAUAAUGUUCCUCUCGUUGCAUUUUGCCAGGAUCGCUGUUUAACGCUGUUUAAUCACCCUCUUGUUGAAACACUUCACACCGUAUAUCAUGAACCCAAGGCAGAGAUCAUGCCUUCAGUUGAGCAUAUGGUGGCUGCUGCAGACAUACAGAAGCUGAAUUUUUUUCGACACUGCUGAGGGGAUAACAACUAAUCUGCGUCCAUACUGGUCAAAAGCUACAGAAG
Hibiscus syriacus is the source of this 241-nucleotide long non-coding RNA. RefSeq lists it as uncharacterized. The transcript has 3 exons. The record is from RefSeq and is a predicted model, not a curated record. Lineage: Eukaryota; Viridiplantae; Streptophyta; Magnoliopsida; Malvales; Malvaceae.